RNAcentral lists this ribosomal RNA (1243 nucleotides) under activated sludge metagenome. RNAcentral describes it as "bacterial LSU rRNA". It matches the Rfam family "Bacterial large subunit ribosomal RNA", at positions 1100 to 2359 of the family's 2925-position model. The record is from RNAcentral.
GUUGGCUUAGAAGCAGCCAUACAUUCAAAGAGUGCGUAAUAGCUCACUGGUCGAGAGACCUUGCGCCGAAGAUUUCCGGGACUCAAAUCAGAUACCGAAGCUGUGGAAUUCAAAAGAAUUGGUAGAGGAGCAUUGUGUGUGGAUAGAAGCUAUACCGAAAGGAAUGGUGGACUACACACAAGAGAGAAUGCUGGCAUAAGUAGCGAAAGGUGAGUGAGAAUCUCACCCAUCGAAAGCCUAAGGAUUCCUGAGGAAGGCUCGUCCACUCAGGGUAAGUCGGGACCUAAGCCGAGGCUGAAAAGCGUAGGCGAUGGACAACAGGUUGAAAUUCCUGUACUAGUGAAUUGCGUUUGAGAGAAGGAGUGACGCAGGAGGAUAAGUUGAGCGUACCGUUGGUAGAGUACGUCUAAGUAACAAGAGAGUGAUGAAAGGCAAACCCGUCAUCACAAUCUCAAGUUAUGAUGGGGAGCGAAAAACAAGUAGCGAAGCAACUGAUUUCACACUGCCAAGAAAAGCUUCUAUCGAGCAAAGAACUACCCGUACCGCAAACCGACACAGGUAGGCGAGGAGAGAAUCCUAAGAUGAGCGGAAGAACCAUUGUUAAGGAACUCGGCAAAAUAGCCCCGUAACUUCGGGAGAAGGGGUGCCAUGGAAACAUGGCCGCAGUGAAUAGGCCCAAGCGACUGUUUACCAAAAACACAGGUCUCUGCUAAGUCGAAAGACGAAGUAUAGGGGCUGACACCUGCCCGGUGCUGGAAGGUUAAGGGGAAUGCUUAGCGCAAGCGAAGGUAUGAACUUAAGCCCCAGUAAACGGCGGCCGUAACUAUAACGGUCCUAAGGUAGCGAAAUUCCUUGUCGGGUAAGUUCCGACCCGCACGAAAGGUGUAACGAUUUGGGCACUGUCUCAACAAUAGAUCCGGUGAAAUUGUAGUACUCGUGAAGAUGCGAGUUACCCGCGGCAGGACGGAAAGACCCCAUGGAGCUUUACUGCAGGCUGACAUUGGAAUUCGGUAGCAAUUGUACAGAAUAGGUGGGAGACUGAGAAGCCAGUACGCCAGUAUUGGUGGAGUCGCCUUUGGGAUACCACUCUAUUGUUACUGAAUUUCUAACAUGAUACCGUAAGCCGGUAUAUGGACACUGUCAGUUGGGCAGUUUGACUGGGGCGGUCGCCUCCGAAAGAGUAACGGAGGCGCUCAAAGGUUCCCUCAGCACGGUCGGAAAUCGUGCGAAGAGUGUAAAGGCA